CGGGGAGGAGCGCGGCGCGGGCUCGCGGGGACACCGGGGCCCAGGCUGGGGGGGCGGUCAGUGCCGGCCGCGUAGGACCGAGGCGCCGGGGGCGUAGCGGGCAGCCGGGCCUCGGGGAGCUUGAGAGCUGGAGGCUGGCAGAGCUGGGACACCGCCCCGGGGUUGCGCCCCUGGGGAUGGGAGGGGUGGGGAGGGCGGCGAGACCCCUCCCCUCUUUGUCUUAGGUACUCGGAGGUGUGGGGCUGUGCCGGCUUAAAGCAAUUAGCACAGUGACUGGCCCUGAAUGAGCCCUUUGAGUGUCCGGGCUUUGAUUGCAACCACGGUGCGAGGGGGAAACAGGAAAGGGAGUGGGUAACUGCCAUUAUUAAGCACCCAGGCUGGCCGGGUGCGGUCACCACCCCUUCCUUCUCGAGGUGGCAGCCGAGGCAUAGAGGACACGAAGCAUGUGUCCUAGGACUGUGGAAGAGACAGAGCUGGGAUACGAACCUGGGACCUCUGGUUCUUGGCCCGGUCCACCUCCUAGCAAAUUAUUGGAAUGAACAUGAGAAAUCCUCCUCCAGCUCCUGAUUGGCUCUCUCUGAGACACCACGACCACCUCCCAGCUGGUCGCCUAAAUUACCCGCCUCGGGCCCCUCUCCUGACUGCAAAUUGAUAUCUGCGGAAGCAAAGAAUCAGUCUUUCAGUUUCCCUAUCCCAAGAGGACUGACACUACCCAACUUCAAGACUUCCUAUAAAGCUACAGUAAUCAAGCCAUGUGGUAUUGGUGAAGAAUAGACAAACGGGUCAGUGGAGUAGAAUAGAGAGCCCAGAAGCAGAGCCACAUAAAAACAGCCAACUCUUUGACCAAGGAGAAAAGGCGAUACAGUGGAACAAAGAGUCUUUUUAACAAAUGGUGCUGGAACAACUGGACAUCCAUAUGCAAAGAAAUGGAUCCAGACAGGACUUUACACCCCUGACAAAAUUUUACUUAAAAUGGGUGAUAGACCUAAAUGUAAAAUGCAAAACUGCGAACCCCUGGGAGAUAACAUAAGGGAAAAUCUGGAUGAUCAUGGAGAUGGUGAUGACUUUUUAAGUACAACAAAGGCAUGAUCCAUGAAAGAAAUAACCAAUAAGCUAUACUUCAUUAAAAUAAAAAAUUUUUGCUCUGCAAAGGGCAUUGUCAAGAGAAUGAAAAGCCAGACUGGGCAAAAAUAUUUGCAAAAGACAUUUCUGAUAAAGGACUAUUAUCCACAGUAAACAAAGAACUCUUAUAAUGCAAUGAUAAAGAAACAGCCUGAUUAAAAAAUGGACCAAAGAUUUUAACAGACACAGAACAGAUGGUAAGUAAGCAUAUGAACAGAUGCCCUACAUCAUAUAACCCCAAUGAAAUGCAAAUUAAAACAACAAUGAGAUGCCACGAUACACCUAUUGGAAUCCCCCAAAUCUAGAACACUGACAACACCAAACGUGCUCAAGGAUAUGGAGCAACAGGAACUCUCGUUCAUUGCUGGUGGGAAUGCAAAGUGGUACAGCUGCUUUGGAAGACAGAUUGAUGGUUUCUUCCAAAACCAACCAUAGUCUAACCAUCCCACCCAGUGAUUGUUCUUCUUGGUGUUUACUGAAAGGAGUUGAAAACUUAGGUCCACACGAAAACCCACAAUGGAUAUUUAUAGCAGUUGCCAAAACUCGGAAGCAACCAGAUCCUUCAGGAAGUGAAUGGAUAAAUAAACUGUGGUCCAUCCAGACAAUGGGGUAUUAUUGUUCAGUGCUAAAAAGAAACGAGCUCUCAAGCCAUGAAAAGACAUGGAG
Molecule: long non-coding RNA, 1788 nt
Organism: Ailuropoda melanoleuca (giant panda)
Lineage: Eukaryota; Metazoa; Chordata; Mammalia; Carnivora; Ursidae
Exons: 4
Source: RefSeq, a predicted model, not a curated record